RNAcentral lists this ribosomal RNA (434 nucleotides) under uncultured Ruminococcus sp. RNAcentral's name for it is "bacterial SSU rRNA". It matches the Rfam family "Bacterial small subunit ribosomal RNA", at positions 341 to 792 of the family's 1533-position model. Lineage: Bacteria; Bacillati; Bacillota; Clostridia; Eubacteriales; Oscillospiraceae. The record is from RNAcentral.
ACGGGAGGCAGCAGUGGGGAAUAUUGCACCAUGGGCGCAAGCCUGAUGCAGCGAUGCCGCGUGAGGGAAGAAGGUUUUCGGAUUGUAAACCUCUGUCAACAGGGACGAAAAUGACGGUACCUGUGAAGGAAGCUCCGGCUAACUACGUGUCAGCAGCCGCGGUAAUACGUAGGGAGCAAGCGUUAUCCGGAAUUACUGGGUGUAAAGGGAGUGUAGGCGGGACUGUAAGUCAGAUGUGAAAUAUGCCGGCUCAACUGGCAGACUGCAUUUGAAACUGCGGUUCUUGAGUGAAGUAGAGGUAAGCGGAAUUCCUAGUGUAGCGGUGAAGUGCGUAGAUAUUAGGAGGAACAUCAGUGGCGAAGGCGGCUUACUGGGCUUUAACUGACGCUGAGGCUCGAAAGCGUGGGGAGCAAACAGGAUUAGAUACCCUGGUA